GACGAACGCUGGCGGCGUGCUUAACACAUGCAAGUCGAACGCUGAAGACCUGGCUUUUGUUGGGUUGGAUGAGUGGCGAACGGGUGAGUAACACGUGAGUAACCUGCCCUCUUCUUUGGGAUAACGCCCGGAAACGGGUGCUAAUACUGGAUAUUCACUGGCCUUCGCAUGGGGGUUGGUGGAAAGGUUUGUUCUGGUGGGGGAUGGGCUCGCGGCCUAUCAGCUUGUUGGUGGGGUGAUGGCCUACCAAGGCUUUGACGGGUAGCCGGCCUGAGAGGGUGACCGGUCACAUUGGGACUGAGAUACGGCCCAGACUCCUACGGGAGGCAGCAGUGGGGAAUAUUGCACAAUGGGCGAAAGCCUGAUGCAGCGACGCCGCGUGAGGGAUGGAGGCCUUCGGGUUGUAAACCUCUUUCGCUCAUGGUCAAGCCGCUACUGUGGGUUGUGGUGAGGGUAGUGGGUAAAGAAGCGCCGGCUAACUACGUG
This 486-nucleotide ribosomal RNA is filed under the name uncultured bacterium. RNAcentral describes it as "partial 16S ribosomal RNA". It matches the Rfam family "Bacterial small subunit ribosomal RNA", at positions 28 to 507 of the family's 1533-position model. The record is from RNAcentral.